CUGUUUGUUCAUCUCCUGGCCUAGCCCUGAAAAGAAUGAGAGAGUCCGCCAGAUGCGCCCCGUGUGUGACUGCCAGGCUCACCUGCUCUGGAACCGGCCUCGGUUUGGAGAGAUCAAUGACCAGGACAGAACUGAUCGAUACGUCCAGGCUCUGAGGACCGUGCUGAAGCCAGACAGCGUGUGCCUGUGUGUCAGCGAUGGCAGCCUGCUCUCCGUGCUGGCCCAUCACCUGGGGGUGGAGCAGGUGUUUACAGUCGAGAGCUCAGCAGCUUCUCACAAACUGUUGAGAAAAAUCUUCAAGGCUAACCACUUGGAAGAUAAAAUUAACAUCAUAGAGAAACGGCCGGAAUUAUUAACAAAUGAGGACCUGCAGGGCAGAAAGGU
This 384-nucleotide small RNA is filed under the name Pan troglodytes (chimpanzee). RNAcentral's name for it is "retained intron". The record is from RNAcentral. Lineage: Eukaryota; Metazoa; Chordata; Mammalia; Primates; Hominidae.